AUACGUAGGGUGCGAGCGUUGUCCGGAAUUACUGGGCGUAAAGAGCUCGUAGGUGGUUUGUCGCGUCGUCUGUGAAAUUCCGGGGCUUAACUCCGGGCGUGCAGGCGAUACGGGCAUAACUUGAGUACUGUAGGGGAGACUGGAAUUCCUGGUGUAGCGGUGAAAUGCGCAGAUAUCAGGAGGAACACCGGUGGCGAAGGCGGGUCUCUGGGCAGUAUCUGACGCUGAGGAGCGAAAGCAUGGGUAGCGAACAGGAUUAGAUACCCUGGUAGUCCAUGCCGUAAACGGUGGGCGCUAGGUGUAGGGGUCUUCCACGACUUCUGUGCCGUAGCUAACGCAUUAAGCGCCCCGCCUGGGGAGUACGGCCGCAAGGCUAAAACUCAAAUGAAUUGACGGGG
This 398-nucleotide ribosomal RNA is filed under the name uncultured bacterium. RNAcentral describes it as "partial 16S ribosomal RNA". It matches the Rfam family "Bacterial small subunit ribosomal RNA", at positions 523 to 918 of the family's 1533-position model. The record is from RNAcentral.